Molecule: long non-coding RNA, 5197 nt
Organism: Ctenopharyngodon idella (grass carp)
Lineage: Eukaryota; Metazoa; Chordata; Actinopteri; Cypriniformes; Xenocyprididae
Exons: 5
Source: RefSeq, a predicted model, not a curated record
UGCUUUCACUUCAUGAAAGUCACUGAUUUGGACAGGAUUUGGAUAGGUUUGGACGAUAGAUUUUUGAUUAGUUCUCCAAUAUGAGUAUUAAUUUUAUUUAUUUAUUUAUUUUUUACUUAUCUAAAACAUUUGAUUUAAUUUUUAACAAAAAGAAUUAUUUUAACCAAAAUUCUGUUGUUUUUAAGUGAUAUUUUAUUCAUUAAAAUUAUUAUUAUUAUUAUUAUUUAAAGGGGACCUAUUAUGCCCCAUUUUAUAAGAUGUAAAAUAAGUCUCUGUUGUCCCCAGAGUGUGUAUGUUAAGUUUUAGCUCAAAAUACCCCACAGAUAAUUUUUUAUAACAUGUUAAAAUUUACACUUUUUGGGGUUGAGCAAAAACGUGCUGUUACAGUGUGUGCCCUUUAAAUGCAAAUGAGCUGCUGUGCUCGGCCUAAGAGGGCGGAGCUACACGAGCUGAUUCUCCGGUGACAGGAUUCAGUCAGGACGCACUAUAAUGUCAGAAAUUGCGAAUGUAUGCUGCAUGGAGAUAGAACAGGUAUAGUUUAGUUUAAUUACGGUUAUAACUUAUAUUGUCUUCUUGUUUUUAUCCACUAUAUUACUACAAGCCUGUUGUACCGUCCGAAUGAUGUCCAAAACUUUACAGAUGAGUUUAAUGUUUAUUGUACUUCACACAAAAGAUGAAGCGUCUGUUUUCACAGUAUCACAAUAUUAUCCCUAAACUCUCUCUUUCCCUUGUAUUAUCAUCAACAUACGUAGCGAAGUACACAGAAACCCUCGUUACAACUAACAGUAAACAAAUACAUAAAGACCUUAUGCCUUUUUAGGGUGGUGUUUAAUAAACUGGUAAACUUUAUAUCCGUAAAUCAACACCGAUGAACUGUAAUAAAGUGCUCUCACCUUCAUUACUGCCGUAUCCAGUAUCACUCUGAAGACUGUAAGCUGGAUCACGAACAGUUUGUACUUCUAUAUCCUUGAGUAGCACAUUUUUAGCACAACCUCUGUUUUGUAUUGUCCCUUUGUAUUGACAUUCGUUCACAAAGCAGUCCGGUGUGAAAUAAUUCACGCAGACAUAAACGAAUUUUGGUAGAAUUGGGGGAGCAUUUUCUUUGAAAACAAAAUUAAUCCAACUCGUCCUCAGCGGCUCAGAUUUCAGGGGUAAAUGGAGAGAGCUAUGUGGAUUAAUCCAUCCAGCUACAGAACACCUAAAACGCUUGGGAGACGUUCUCGUCAGUGCAGCAAUAACGGACUGUACAACUGGCUGUGAACUCGCUCAGGGCGGUUCUAUGUUAAAACGGCAGUGUCUGUCAACAUUCGUGGGCGGGGCCUGUGGCUAAUGUGACGUCACACUGCAAGGGAUCUGGAAGCGGCUUGUUCUGAGACACUGUUUAUGAUUUAUGGGGAUUAAAAAAAAAUGAGUGGUUGUGUACACACACUGCCAACACACAUUUAUGUCCAAACACCAUGCAAAAGUGAAUUUUGCAUAAUAGGUCCCCUUUAUUAAAAAUAUGAAUUAAAUUAUUAUACUUUCUUGGUUGUAUUUUAAUUUGGAGGUUGUAAAUAAAAAUGUACAAUAUUAUUAUUACUAUUAAUUUUAAUUUAAUUUUUGAUAAACUUGGCAAUAAAAUUAACUUAAAUUUGGUUAUAAAAUGCAUAUUUUAUAUGUAAAUAUUUUUAUUAAACAAUUGUAUUAUUAAAUAUAUGAAUUACAUUAUUAUACUUUAAUAUUAUAUUAAAAUUGUGGGCUGUAAAUAAUAAUUAUAAUACAAAUAAUAUGUAUUAUUGCCGUUAUCAAUAAAAAAUAAUCUUUGUGAUUAUAAACAAUUCUCUUUUUUUCUUUCUCUUUUUUUUUUUUUAUAACAGCCCUAAAGUGAAAAUACCUACAACACAAAAAAAGCAGAAGUUUUGAGCAGAACAGAGGUUCUGUGGUUCACUUAUUUAGGCUAGAGCACUUACUGGUAGUGCAAACCAUAAUAAACAGGUAACGCCUUCAUUCAUUAUGAAUGAACAUGUUAGACGUGAAGGAACCAGCAGAGUAAAUCAGACACUGCAUGCAGUGAUACAAUGGUCUCUUUACUGGCUCUUUACUACCUGAUUCUUACUGUCUUCAGCUUCACGAUGUGUGGACGUGAGGGUAAGCAACUAAUAUUUUUAGUAAUUCUUUAUGAAAGGAAAUUUAGGUUGCUUUAAUGUGACCAAACUUUUGAAAACAAAAGUUCUGGUUAGAACCUAAAAAAGUUUUACAUUCUGAUUCUAUUAGAUUAAACUUUUAGCUUCACUUUUACUUCAUUGUUGGAUUAUUGAACCAAUAAGCUUCUGAAGAACCAAUAGUGUGCAAGUUUCCAUUUAAUUCGUCAAAUAUGAUGGUUGAAUACAUUUUGGUGUAUAUUGGUGUUUUGAGCAUAUACAGUUCAAUGUAUAAUUUGUUUAAUUUAAAAAAAAAAAAACUGUCAUGACCUUAUCUUAGAGAUUUAAAAUUUGUUAUCCUAACUCCAGAAUGUGUACCAGUAUGUCUGUUUGCUGUAGAAUGCAGAUUUCUAUUGAAGCGCUUUUGAUGUUUAUUCUUUACUUUGUUUAUUAAAUUACAGUUGAGCUGAAUUACCUUUUAAUUUCACUUUACAGGUGUUUUGGUUUUCAGAGCAGUUGAAGGAGCGACUGUCCAUCUGCCCUGCCACUCUCCACCUGAUAACAGUGAACAAGUUACUGGAAAGUGGACAAAAAAUAGUGCAACUAACAAAACUAUCUGUGAAUGGAAUUUUAAUAAAAUUACUGGAUCUUCCUCCGGUGAUUGCAUUCCUCACUUUACAUUCAACAGAACGUCUUUUACACUAAGUAUAGAAAAUGUUCAGCCCAGUGACUCUGGUAAUUACAGCUGUAAAACAGCAAGAUUAAUUCCACCACCGACAUUGGACAACAUCUCAAAUGUGAUACUCCAAGUUGAAGGUCUGUCCCUGCAGCUCCUGAACAGCAGUAAUGACACCUGUAUUCAUCUGCUUUGCUCUCUGAAGAGUCUGAACCCUGAGCUGGUGGACUUCACCUGGAGCCGAGAGGGUCAAAGUUUACUUCAUCCAUCCACAUCUUAUGACAUGAAGAGUGAGCUGCAUCUGUGUAAACCUGACUGGAGUGAUGGAGACACAAUCACCUGCCACGCCAGCUACUCAAGCGCCCAAACACCCCUCAGCUGGAACAUUACACUUGACUUCAGCGAUGAGGAGUCUAGCCAGGACUUUUCAGUAGUUUUUGUGACUUUUUUCAGCAUGUUGAUCAUCGCCAUCGGCUUCAUCUGGAUAUUGUUCUGGGUGUUAAAAUAUAGGCAGAGAGUGAGAGUGUGACAUGCUGCCAUGGACCCUCAACAUGAGAGCCAUUAUGGAGCCGUUAUGGAGUCAUUCUGUUACUGUAAUAUAUAUAUAUAUAUUUUAAAUAUAUCUAUAUACUUUUGUUAUAAUCCUUUAGAUUAUUCAUUAUUGAAGGCAUGUAUUGAAUACAUAACUCACAUGUAGUAUAAUGUAUCAUUAAUUUAAAAUAUGGGUGUCACAUUUUGAGUUUAUAGGUUCAUGUUUAGAGUUUGUUUUUGAUCACUUUUUCUGUGCUAUUCAUGUCUGAGAUUUUUUUGUUAAUCUUCUAGGUUGUUAAUUAGUUCUGUCACUGUCCCCUGCUUGUUUGUCGCCAUGGUUUCUGAUUGAUUUGAGUAUUCUGUUCAGGUGUGUCUUGUUAAUUUGCUCCCUUGUUUUCCAUGUACGUAUAUAAGCCCAAAGUUUCAGUUUGCUCCGGGUCAGUAUUUGUCUUGUUUAAGCUGUGUAGUUGUGUUAUUUUCCCUAGUCUUCUGUUUUUGGAUUGAAAUAAAAUUUCUGUGUAUCCGAAUCCUGCUUCUAGCAAGUGUUUCUACGAUACAGCAUGACAAUGGGUCUACUUCUCUGUUUUUAUGUAAUUAAUAUCACUAAACAAAUAUAUAUGCAAAUAAUUCUCAUCAACCAAAUGUAUAAAACCAAACUUUUUUAAUAAAAUAAAAGCUAAAGGUGUCAUAUGACUCAGUGCUCUAUAUAGGUACAUUCACGGCAUGUCAUAAGUACCGUAAUUACAAGAUUCCAACUCAAGAUUUAGUCCUCGCAGAGCUCGUAAUUACAACUUGUAAACUGGGAAUUUUCUGAGAGCUCUGACUUGCACCACGUGAUCGCUGUACAACCUGACCACUCUCAUUUGCUCUUUGCCAAGCAAAUACACAGCAAUAAAUGUUGGAAAGAUAUCAUUCAAGAUAAAAAAUUAACAUUAUAUUCGCAGAAAUAGAUUGAGUCUACAAACACAGUCAUUUUAGAAUUGUGUAUAAUAAACAGAUAAUGGUAAUGAUAACCUACACUUAAAUAAGCACAAUUUAUAUCAAAGUAAAUCUCUAAGUGUCUGGUCAAAGAAAGGUUUUUCAUUUUAUCUUUUAUGAUGAUCUAGAUGGGGGGUGGGCGCAUGGACAGGAAGUUCACCACUCAGAUUCUGUACGAGUGCAGAAGUGUCACGCUAAGCACAGCUCAAAAAUGUGUUCUAUUCAUAUGUUUUUAAAAUGGGUUACAAACUGUUUUUUAUUUUUUAUUUUAAUUUUUCUCCGACAUACAGGUAAGAGACUAUAGCUCUGUUUACUUUGCCCUUUUAUGUAAAUCAAAGAAGUUUCAUUUAAUGUCUCAGUUGUGUAACAAGUGUUAACUGACUAAUAACAGAAUGUGAUUUAUUUACUGUACAUUUGAAGACAUUACGUCUCAAUUUGUGUCAAUCCACAGAUGCGGAGACUAUCAGAGCAGCUGAAGGAGCGACUGUCCAUCUGCCCUGCCACUCUCCACCUGAUGACAGUGAACUGUUUUCUGUAGAGUGGACAAAAAAUUGUGCAACUAGCAAAAGUAUUUGUAAAUGGAAUAUUAAUAAAAUUACUGAAUCUUCUGCUGGAGGAUGCAUUCCUCAUUUUACAUUCAACAGAAAGUCGCUAAGUAUAAAAAAUGUUCAGUUUAGUGACUCUGGUAAUUACAGCUGUAAAACAACAAGAUUAAUUCCACCACCAACAUUGGACGUCAUCUCAAAUGUGAUACUCCAAGUUACAGCACAUCCAGGUCUGUCCCUGCAGCUCCUGAACAGCAGUAAUGACACCUGUAUUCAUCUGCUCUGCUCUCUGGAGAGUCUGAACCCUGAGCUGGUGGACUUCACCUGGAGCCGAGAAGGUCAAAGGU